RNAcentral lists this unclassified non-coding RNA (1134 nucleotides) under Onthophagus taurus. RNAcentral's name for it is "uncharacterized LOC111415666, transcript variant X6". Lineage: Eukaryota; Metazoa; Arthropoda; Insecta; Coleoptera; Scarabaeidae. The record is from RNAcentral.
GCUGGUUGCAUACUCACUGACACAUUUCUUCAUCAUAACAAAUUACUUAAAUAUCUCAAAUCCCUUUUUGAACUGAUGAAACGCAAAUAGCACACCGAGGAAUUAUUUUGUAGGUGUUAAAAUUUCCAAAAGUCCAUCAAGCAGAUCUAUCCAAAUCUAACAAAAUUAUUUAGAAAUAACCUUAAACAAGGAGAAUUUUUUGGUAGUUAUGGCUGGGUACCAUCCAUGUUCAGUUUCUGGGUGUAAGGACAAAAAAUCUAGUCGACACUUAUUUCCAAAUCCAACAAAGCAGUCAGAGAGAUAUCAUGAAUGGGUUAAAGCUACUGGAAAUCUAAAAUUACUCACAUUAGAUCCCAAUAGAGUGUACAGAUCCUACAGAGUUUGUCAUAGGCAUUUUACUGAUAGUGAUAGAACUACAAAUAUGUAUUUAACAAAAACUUGUGUACCUUCAUUGUAUUUACCAGAGGCGAUUGAUUUAUCUAUUUCUAAUGAAAUUGAUCCUUUGGACACCACUUUGGAUGAAGAUGAUGUACCACUAAGUAAAAAGUUGCGUCUUUCACCUUCAAUGACUUCACCAUCAGAGACAUUACCAUUAUCAAUCAACAAGCCUAACAGUUUUGAACACAUAAUCAUAGAACCUCCUAUAUCACUAGCAUCAACAUUCAUAACAGAAGUUAAAAAAGAACAAGACUAUUCAUCAUCAGAGGAAGAUGAACAAAAUCAAAUAGAAACUAUAUCAACAGAUGACCUUGAAAAAUUGAUACAUUACUGGGAUGAGUUUCAGUCUUUAGCUAAAAAAUGGCACCCCAAUAAAACUGAUGUUAACAAAAUAUGUGACAUGGUUGAAGAUAAAUGUUUAAGUCAUUUUAAAGAGAUUAUAAGAAAAAGGCAGGUUCAAUCAGGUUUGGGGGAGUAUUUUUCUCCAUCAUAGGAACAACACAUUCACAUUGUAUAUCUUAAGCAUUUAUAUUGUCUGGAUACAACAUUAGUACAUUCACAGAUUUUAACUGGCCAAAAAUUUGGCGAAUGCAAAAGUGGCUGUGAUAAUGGAAUUAAUAUAGAUUAUGAGGAAGAAUCUGUUAAAAGGGAUCAAAUAAAACUUUAAUUAAGUUUUAAAUAAAUAUAAUUUUAAAA